UACGUAGGGUGCAAGCGUUGUCCGGAAUUACUGGGCGUAAAGGGCGCGUAGGCGGCCUGCUAAGUCGAACGUGAAAUCCCCGGGCUCAACCCGGGAACUGCGUCCGAUACUGGCAGGCUUGAAUUCGGGAGAGGGAUGCGGAAUUCCAGGUGUAGCGGUGAAAUGCGUAGAUAUCUGGAGGAACACCGGUGGCGAAGGCGGCAUCCUGGACCGAAAUUGACGCUGAGGCGCGAAAGCCAGGGGAGCAAACGGG
This 253-nucleotide ribosomal RNA is filed under the name uncultured bacterium. RNAcentral's name for it is "partial 16S ribosomal RNA". It matches the Rfam family "Bacterial small subunit ribosomal RNA", at positions 524 to 776 of the family's 1533-position model. The record is from RNAcentral.